This 1921-nucleotide long non-coding RNA is filed under the name Homo sapiens (human). RNAcentral describes it as "HSALNT0374708". Lineage: Eukaryota; Metazoa; Chordata; Mammalia; Primates; Hominidae. The record is from RNAcentral.
CCGGCCCCCGCGCCCGCCCCCACGGCCCGGCCGGGGACCCCGCCCCGCGCUUCCGGGAGGGGGAGGGGAGAGGCCGGUGGCCGCGCGGGAGCCCUAGGCCGCAGCCGCCGCCUGUCGGCCCGGCCCGGGUCCCAGCUGCUCCUGCGGCGCUCCCACGCCCCCGCGGGCGGGCGGCGGGGCCGGGAGGGGGCCUCGGCUGGGGCGGGCGCCGGGAGGGACCGAGUCGGGGCCGGAGGCUGGCCGCGUGCCCACCGGGCCGGCGCCGGGGCGAGCCUGGGCCGCGGCCCCCUCUUCCCGCCAGCCAGCCCACCCCGCCCCGGCGGCCUCUGGGAAAACGCGUCCCGGGCGAGCCCCUGAGGGCAGGAUCGGAGUCGGGGGCACCUGGGGAAGGAGAGCGCCCCGUGGGGCCUCGGCCGGUGGCCUGUGCCAAAAGGCCGGGCAGAGCUGCUUCGGUGUCUGGGUGAAGUUUCCAGCCAACCCAAGAAGGAAACCGAAAGGGAAGAGGCCGAGAGAGAGGUUAAUUCCUAGUGCUUUGGUUACCGAAAACAGCCCGGCUGGGACUGCUGGGCUGGGAACUUAGCUAAGCAGUGCGGAGGCUGAACCCCACCAUCUCUGGGAUCCGCAGCAAAUCAGAAGCCCCCACCCACGAUAAGGGGAAAAUGGGGCGCAGAGGGCAGGGAGGAAGGGAAGAGAAUGGAAGGAAAGCGCGUCUGGACUUUGAACUGCAGCCCUCUCCCUCUUUCCCUUGCCUCGGAAGCUCCAGGCCCACUCAGCACCAGUUCUGUCUCCUCUUUUCAGCCGCCUUCUCUCUAGCUACUGAGGGGAAAAGUCAGGAUGAAGCGGGUCCCUCGGCCUCCAGAAGGUGUUUUAUUACAGUCGCAAACAGGUAGAGCGGCAGCCACCCCAGUGAUGACUCCCUGCUCCUUAGAUUGUAGGGACGCUGGCACCUCACUCAUGCUCCUAAGUGGCCAUUUUGCGCCCUGGCUGGGCGAGUUAGGCAGACAAAAUGAGCCCCCAAAAGUUUAAAGGCCUCCACCAAAGGAGUAUUUCUUUUCUGAGGUGUCAUUGUAUUCCAUCCACGAACUUCAGUUCCCCCGGGUGCUCUGGAUCUGACAUGGAGUAGGAUGCUAACAUCUAAUCCCUUCUUUCCCUUUGGAAAGAUGCAUGUUUUUUCUCGGAGUCCUAGGGAAUACCUUAGAAUACUUUCAUGGUUGUCAUUGGUACACCCAUCCCUUGAGGAGCCCUGCCACCCGUAAGUAGGACUGCAAGGAAAUACAAAAUUAAGAGAAGUAUGAACCCUGAUACCCAGGAACUUAAAAUCAGGUGUAUAAAUUUUGUACACCUAAAAAAUAUGGUACCUAAAGAGGCGAACAGCAAAACAAGCAAGAAUGUGAAUCUUUAAAAUGUUUCUAUUCUUCAGCGCAGCCCAGGAAUUCUACCUAAAGUAACAUAUCCUAAGGCAACAACCAAGAAGUGUGGAAGAAUGCAUGUAAGAAGACACAGUGAUGUUUAGAAUCCUGGGGAAACGGAACAGCCAAAAAGUCUCACAGAGGUUAAGUAAAUAAUAGCAUUUUCAUACGAGUACUAUGUAGUCAUUUAAAAUUAUGUCUUUCAGUACCUAGUAAUGGGGAAAAUGUAUUCAUUAUAUAUUAUUAAAGAAAAUACAGGGUACAAAACACUGUAUAUAGACUGAUCUCAAAUGACUAUAUAUAUAUUAAUAUAUAUGGCCUACAGACACACAGUCAUGUAUUGCUUAACAAUGGGUAUACAUUCUGAGAAAUGUGUUCUUAGUUGAUUUUGUCACGUGAGCAUCAUAGAGUGUACUUCCAGAAACCUAGAUGGCAUAGCCUACUACACACCUAGGCUAUAUGGUAUGACGUAUUGCACCUGGACCACAAACCUGAACAGCAUGUGACUGAAC